CUUUUGGGUUAUAAUCUUUGAUUUUAGCCGUAUGUAAUAUAUUUGGGGAUGGGACUAGUCUUGCAAUUUGUGAGUUUAGAGGUCCCAUACAGAAAUUAAGGGAUUAGGGCCUGUUUUGCAAAUUUUUAAGUAAGGACCUGCCACACAAUUUUAAAUAUUGAGGGACCUAGUUUUAAUUUAAAUCUAGGGUUAAUAUGUAAUUUACAAAGGGUAUUAAACUUGAACCUUUUAAAAGGUUUGAUUUGACCCUAAGAUUUCAAUUUUGACCCAAUUAAAAUUUUAAUUCUGACCCGUUUAAAAUUAUAUCAAAUAAAUAAAUAAAUAAAUAAUUGAUUGACGACUUCCAUAUUUUUCAUUAAAAUAUGUAUUUAAAUAUUGCCAUUAUUUAUGCAUUUAAAUUUCAUUUUUGAAAUUUUGUUGUCAAUUUCGUCUCUCAAUCACAUAUGAAUUUUUGUCUUUCAUCAAUUAAUGAUUAUGAUUUGUUGCGUAAUUAUUGUUUUGUGAUUGAAUCUUUAUGGAAUUUGAGACGAUUUUUAUUUUCCCACAAAGAGAAAUAUUUUGAAAUAAAAAUAGAUGGAGAUACUCAUUAUCAUUUAUUCGGUUUUCUCUACAAUAAAAAAUACAUAUAUUUUGCCCAACAAUUUUUGAUUUAUUGCAUAUAACAUCCUGCCCAAAGGUGUUAUUAUAUGUGAAAUUUUUUGGAAAAUGGCAUAAGGCGGUUAAUGAGUUUACCUUGAUCUAGAAAUUUCCUUUUGUCCAAAGGUGUUGGUGUUUCAAAAACUAAUGUAAUUUUGUUAACUAGCCACAUGCUGUAUUUUAAGAGUACCUUAUAGCAUGUUGUAUUGUUGACCCAAAGGUGACUUUAUGAUGAUGUGUCUAGGCUCUUACCGUAAUAAAUUCACAUGUUUUGAUUUAAAUUACGGAUUAUCUAAUUAAUAGCCCAUAUUAAUUAGUUGGAUAUUUCAUCAUUCAUUUGAUUGCAUGUAUAAUGUUUGGAUAAUAUUAAGAGUGAUAUUUUAUGUUUCCACAAUUUAUAAUGCAUCAUCUCUUUCGAAUCAAUUGUUUGCUAUUGAAACCUUGACUCGGAAUAACUAUGUGAGAUUGAAACAAGACGUAGAAAUAGCACUUGGUCAUUUGGGCUUGAAUUUUGCAAUGGAGAAAAAGCUUGAGAAACCCACAUAUAAGAGUACCGUUGAAUAUGUAGCCGAGCAUGAAAAAUGGGAAAGGGCUAACAAACUCUGUUUGAAGAUCAUUAAGCGAUCAAUAUUUGAUUCCAUUCUAGGUGCCAUCCCCGAUAAUGAAAAUGCCAAAAGUUUUAUGGAUGCCAUAGGAGAAAAAUUUAUUGAGUCUGAUAAAGUCGAAACUGGGGAUUUGAUGGAUAAAUUGAUGAGCAUGAAAUAUGAUGGCACAAGUGGUGUUAGGGAGCAUGUCAUGAAAAUGAUAAAUAUAUCAUCUAAGCUAAAGGUUCUUGACAUUCCCAUUGCGGAGCCUUUCCUAGUCUAUCAUAUUUUGAAUAGCCUUCCUAGCAAGUUUAAUCAGCUUAAGGUUACUUAUAAUGUUCAACGGGAUAAAUGGAAUUUGAAUGACCUCAUAGCAGUGUGUGUUCAAGAAGAGUAUAGGAUGCGCCGUGAAACUGUUGAAACUGUGCAAUUAGCUUUUCAGCCAUCACAGAAUAAGGGGCCUUCUCAUAACCAUAAACCUAAGUUUCGUAAGGGUAAUAAGUCCUACCGAAGUCAGCAGAAUAAAAAUUUUAGUGGCCCUAAAGGAGUUAUAAAGAAAAAUGAUCAAUGUAAGUUCUGUAAAAAGAAUGGUCACUGGCAAAAAGGCUGUUUUAAGUUCAAGACUUGGUUGGAAAAAAAGAAGAGUUCUUCAGGUAUUCCCUUGGCCUUAGUUUGUUUUGAGUCUUCUUUAGUAGAUAUGCCUUUGAAUUCUUGGUGGCUAGACUCGGGAGCUAGUAUUCAUAUUGCGAAUUCCUUGCAAGGGUUCACAAGCAAACAGAGGCCAAGUGAGAAUGAAGUCAGCUUGAGUGUUGCAAAUGGAGUUCAAGUGAAGGUUGAAUUCAUAGGAGUAGUGAAGUUGACUUUAGAGUCUAGUUUUUAUCUUGUUUUGAAAAAUACAGUUUAUGUACCGCAAAUGAGACGGAAUUUAAUUUCUAUAUCAAAACUUGAUGCUUGUGGUUUUACAUUUAAUUUUGGUAAUGGAAUGGUUGAGUUAUUUAAUGAUUCUUGUUUGAUUGGAAAUGACAUUUUAUGUGAUGGUUUAUAUAAAUUAUCUUUGGCUCCUUUUGGUGAUGUCUCGUGUAUUACAAAUGUAUCAAAGUAAAGGACCUUAAUUCGUGAAUCAUCCUCUAUGUUGUGGCAUAAGCAUUUGGAGUCAUAUUUCUAAGGAAAGAAUGGAAAGAUUAGUAAAAGAUGAGAUACUUCCCUCUUUAGACUUCUCUGAUUUUGAAACCUGUGUCGAUUGUAUAAGAGGAAAGCUAACUAAAUCUACAAGGAAGUGUUAAAUUUGGAGUAAUGGAAUUUUGGACUUGAUACACACUUAUAUCAGUGGACCUUUGCCCUCCACUAUAUGUGGGAAUAAGUAUUUCAUAACUUUCAUGAUUUUGGCUGUUAUUACAACUGUCAUUCAUAUCAACAAUGGCCUCCGUAGGUAUGAAUUCGUUUUAUUAAUUUAUUAUAUGAUGAUUCUUGAUUCUCAGUAUGAUUACAAAUAAAUUUCAACAAUUGGUAUCAGGGCCUUCAUGCUAAGAUCAGAAUCCUUAAUAAAAUAAUAUUCUGUCUCAUUUUUUUUUCGGCUUGAAUAAUCAAAAGUUAGAUUUUAAUAUUGUUAUUGUUUUCUGGCAAUUUGAGGGAAUUAAUUCUUAUCCUCCUCACCAACAACUUGAUUCUAUAUACACGCUUGUACACUAUUUCCACUUGCACAUCAAUUCCCUUUUGGUUUAAAAUUGGCACAGCAAAAUCCCAACUGUGCCACCAUGUGACCCCUACCACCCAUGUCUUUUUUUUCCCAAUCUCCAAUAACCUUGAACAUUCCAUUAGACUUAGAAACAUCAAUCACAAUCACAAUCCCAAUCCUAAAAUCAAGCUCGGCCCACCUGCCACACCGCCGAAUCAGCCACAACAACCUGAAAAACUGUCUGCGACGGCGCCGAACUGCUGUGUGGGUAGUCUAUUUGCGGCAAUUACCGAACAGUGGAGAGGGUCAUGGUUGUCCUUUUUGAAUUCUAACUCCUUAUAAGUUGAUAAAUCAGUCAUUAUUGACACCUAACCAUGUCGCCGACGGUGGAAACUGAGAGAAGAAUGGUGGUUUUUCUUUUGGGUUAUAAUCUUUGAUUUUAGCCGUAUGUAAUAUAUUUGGGGAUGGGACUAGUCUUGCAAUUUGUGAGUUUAGAGGUCCCAUACAGAAAUUAAGGGAUUAGGGCCUGUUUUGCAAAUUUUUAAGUAAGGACCUGCCACACAAUUUUAAAUAUUGAGGGACCUAGUUUUAAUUUAAAUCUAGGGUUAAUAUGUAAUUUACAAAGGGUAUUAAA
This 3529-nucleotide long non-coding RNA is filed under the name Olea europaea (common olive). Its description in RNAcentral is "long non-coding RNA (OEUR_LNC009231)". Lineage: Eukaryota; Viridiplantae; Streptophyta; Magnoliopsida; Lamiales; Oleaceae. The record is from RNAcentral.